Triticum aestivum (bread wheat) is the source of this 401-nucleotide long non-coding RNA. RefSeq lists it as uncharacterized. The record is from RefSeq and is a predicted model, not a curated record. The transcript has 2 exons. Lineage: Eukaryota; Viridiplantae; Streptophyta; Magnoliopsida; Poales; Poaceae.
CGUCAAGCCUCGACCAUCUCCCUGUCCCGGGCUGCCUGCUCGAUCAGUUAUGCCCUCGAUGCCUCGAUCGCAGGAGGCAGGGAUCGAUCACAUCCAGAGGAAACCGAACAGCGCGGGAUCUGGUUCGCAUCUAGAUCCGCUGACGCCGCGACGGGCGACACAGUAACAGGGACUGUUAGACAGAUGGGUUAUUUCCUCCUCGGUUAAAUAUCACAAUAUAGCAGUUCAACCGGAUAGGAGACGUGACUAGUUGAGUUAGACGGUUCGUCUAAUUGCCAAAUAUCGACGCAUAAUCUUCAAUUGAUAUCUGGUGCCAUAUGAAUAGGUCUAAUUUUUUAUAUAACCAAUUGUCAUGUAAGACAUUAUAUCAUAAUUGCUCUUUAGUUCAUUUUAGUAAGAUA